AAGAGGAAACAGUUUUACUUCUUGUUUUGUGUUUUUGUGCGUGUGAUCCUGCUGUCACCGAGAUACAGAUGCUCCGGCUGAAAUCAACAGCGAUGAUUUCCCUACAGCCUGAGGGCUUCUCGGCUUUAAAAGUCUAGUUAGUGGUUUUGUUUUGUUUUUGUUUGUUUGUUUGUUUUUGUUUUGUUUUGCUUUGCUUUGUUUUGUUUUUUCCCCCGCUGUAUCAAGACUCUAACUCCUGACUGUUUGACGACUCAAUGCCAGGCGGGCGGCGCAGUGUCUAUGUCCUCAUUUCGGGAUACGCCGACUCGCACACCUUGGGUGGCUCCAAGCCGCGGCGCCGGCACUGCCAGCCGCUGUUUACCAGCCCUGCCGUCGGGGAGAGCUAAGAGCAGCGAGGUGCAGCCUGCGGAACAGCUGCUACAGCCCUUGCGGCCCGCAGUUCGGGUGGCACGAAAUGAGGCACCCCAAAUACAGGAGGCUGAUCUGCCAGCCUGUGGCCAAAGCAGAAUUCGGGAUGUCCUGGGAAGUAAGGGCGCUGGGCCGCAGUGGCAAAGCAUCCCUCCGCCCGGCCGGGCGCCCCUCGCCUUUUAAAAAUCUCUUUUUUUGACGCUGACAGACACUCGGGGCAACUGCUUUUCAGUAGCCGGCUUCUUUCCGAGCAGCCUCCGCGCCCGGAGUGCUCGGUCAGGCUCCAUUUUAUCACGCCCCCCGCCGGCGUGCAGGGGGCUACGGCAGGAACGUGCAGGCUGGUGGUGCUCGUCUGAAGGUGACAUCCAGCGCCAAGUCUGCGGUUAAUCGAGUCCGCUUGGUGAAGUUCAACAAUUUAAUCAGUGUCUGCACGAGCCCCGGUGUUAUUUAUCUGUGCUGCGUUAGGUUCCCUUGGGCUGUAAAGCGAUCUCCAGAGGUUAGAUGGGGGGAACCUAACACCACAGGAGCAGUCGCUGCCCUGAUCCUACAAGAAAGCCGCUUCAGUCGGUCUCACCGGAGAAGCAGCAGUCGAUACUGCGGUGAGGGCUGGGCAGGACCAAAGCCACAGCGUGGCUCUCCUAAGGCCACUGUCGCUAUUUACCAGCAAGUCACAACUUGGACGUGCCAUUAGUUAGCAAUCCUUGCCAGCGAUGCUUUUUUCUGCCUGGUUAGAAGGCUGGGGUUUUUCCUGUAGGCACACUCUUAAGACCAUCUUAGUGCUUGUGCAGAGCUUUUGUGGUGGGGGGUCUCAGCAGGGUGGAAGCUGAAGGCCACCCAAACAUGGCACAGAAUGCAGGUGUGUGAGUUGUGCCCUGAUUCUGGCAGGAGAUGCACUGUGUCGUCCCAGGUAUUUUUUUGGCUAAGAUGCUCCUGUCUUUGGACCUAGUGGUGUUAGAAAAUCUAGUUGGUACAACCAUUCUGAUCGGUAAAAGUACAGAAAAUGCUGUCCCCUUCCUGGCUCUCUCCUCCUGUAUUCUUAGUCAAGCCCAGGCUGCAUUCGUGGCUGCUCAGCUCACACUGAGGAAGCUUCCUUGUCUGCAGACCUCCCCUCGGGUGUCAGUUCUGAUGGUCCAGGCUGGGACGGACAAAUGUAGCUGAAGAAAUUAAUUUACUUUGUGACAGUGAAGCGCUGCGAUCAGGUUCGCCCCUUCCCAUCUCUGCCGGAGGAGGAAGAAGAGGAAGAGGAGAGCCCCGGAGCCGCCGUGGGCAGGGCGAGGGGCGCCGACAAAAGAGAGCCCCCGAGCGAGAGCCGCGGGCUCUGCCGGCGAGUUUGGACGCAUUUUAAGUCUGAGGAAUAAGUGACAGGGUCAUCAUUUCCCCGGCUCGGCUGCUUUCAGAUUCGGCUACGAGGGUGAAGUCUUGCUAACAGCUCGUGUAUCUGUAUAUUUAAUUGCGACCUGGCUGCAUGUUCCUGUUGAGGAAGGAUGCAGAUGACAAGUGAGUUAUAAAAAAACAAAAAAAAAAACAAAAAAAAAACAGAGUCAGUUGACAAAAACAGGAAAGGAAUGACAGAUGAAAAGGCAGUCGAUGAGGAGCUAACUGGCAAACGCAUCAGUAAAGUCAUAUACCUUCUGAGAGGAGUAGCAGUUUGUUUUAUUCCGGUUCUCCAGAGUUUUAUCUCCUGUCGGUGUGAAGGGGGAGAGAGGAGCUAAUGUGCCCUGUUUAGGAUACAAACAUGCAGAUUAGAUCAGACUUCAGACACCCCGUUUCACUCAAAAUUUAAAACAGUUAGAGGCAUAAAGCAGAAUUCCGCCACCGAGGAAAACAGAAGUACACUUUUUUAUCUUUAUUAUUAUUACUGUUAUUAUUUGUAAUGUUUUAAAGUCGUUUCCAAGCUGUUCGAACGCAUUCAGCGAGCGAGGUCCCGGGGGUGUUGCGGGUGCGCGGCCGCCGCUGCCCGAGCCGGGAGAGCAGCAGCCCGACCCCGUCUUCUCCACUUUUGUGUUACUUUAAGUUUUCAGUGAGGCUGGUGUAAUUACUGGGCGUUUAACUUUUUGCCAGGCUCUUUCAUUAUAGCUUUGCAUUUGCACCUCGCUUUUAAGAGAAGUAAUAACAUUCACAGUCGGGGGCAAAUCCUGUUAAUGAACAAAUUAAAGUUCAAACAGUUAUUCAAGUUCACAGCCCCGCUCGCUGCUCAUUUAAUAAGAGUUAUGCAUGUUACUUUCUCUCAAGAUCACUCCCCCUUUUAUUACUUUUUAAGCUUUUCAUAAGCACUGACGGGAUGUAGGGGCAGCUCCCAGCCUCUGAAGAGCCCACAAAUCCUGAAGGGAGCCCUAAUCCGGCCUUAAUUUGACAACUUUUGUAAAACGCAUAAAAGCUCGGGUGCCACCCUUG
Anas platyrhynchos (mallard) is the source of this 2802-nucleotide long non-coding RNA. RefSeq lists it as uncharacterized. Lineage: Eukaryota; Metazoa; Chordata; Aves; Anseriformes; Anatidae. The record is from RefSeq and is a predicted model, not a curated record.